RNAcentral lists this ribosomal RNA (900 nucleotides) under uncultured archaeon. RNAcentral describes it as "bacterial SSU rRNA". It matches the Rfam family "Archaeal small subunit ribosomal RNA", at positions 1 to 879 of the family's 1478-position model. The record is from RNAcentral.
CUCCGGGUGAUCCUGCCGGACCCGACUGCUAUCGGAUUGAGAUUUAGCCAUGCGAGUCGAACGUCCCCCUGUUGCGGGGGGCGUGGCGUACGGCUCAGUAACACGUAGUCAACCUGCCCUGGAGACAAGGACAACCCCGGGAAACUGGGAUUAAUCCUUGAUAGGUCAUCUCAUCUGGAAGGAGAGAUGGCUUAAAGGGGUACGCGGGCUUCUUCCGCGAAUCUGCUCCAGGAUGGGACUGCGUCCGAUCAGGCUGUUGGCGGGGUAAUGGCCCACCAAACCUGUAACCGGUACGGGCCUUGAGAGAGGUGGCCCGGAGAUGGACACUGAGAGAAGGGUCCAGGUCCUACGGGGCGCAGCAGGCGCGAAACCUUCGCAAUGCGCGAAAGCGUGACGAGGUUAAUCCGAGUGACUCCCGCUGAGGGGGUCUUUUGUCAGCUGUAAAUAGGCAGGCGAAUAAGGGGAGGGCAAGCCUGGUGUCAGCCGCCGCGGUAAUACCAGCUCCUCGAGUGGUCGGGGCGAUUAUUGGGCCUAAAGCAUCCGUAGCCGGUUCCGUAGGUCCUCUGUUAAAUCCAACCGCUUAACGGUUGACCUGCAGAGGAUACCGCGGGACUAGGAGGCGGGAGAGGCGGACGGUACUCCGCGUGUAGGGGUAAAAUCCUUUGAUCCGCGGAAGACCACCAGUGGCGAAGGCGGUCCGCCAGAACGCGCUCGACGGUGAGGGAUGAAAGCUGGGGGAGCGAACCGGAUUAGAUACCCGGGUAGUCCCAGCCGUAAACGAUGCUAGCUAGAUGAUUCAUUCGCAAGUCGCGAAUGAAGUGUCGCAGGGAAGCCGUUAAGCUAGCCGCCUGGGGAGUACGGUCGCAAGACUGAAACUUAAAGGAAUUGGCGGGGGGAGCC